UGGGGAAUUUUGGACAAUGGGCGAAAGCCUGAUCCAGCCAUGCCGCGUGUGUGAAGAAGGCCUUCGGGUUGUAAAGCACUUUCAGCGAGGAGGAAGGUGGUGAGCUUAAUACGCUCAUCAAUUGACGUUACUCGCAGAAGAAGCACCGGCUAACUCCGUGCCAGCAGCCGCGGUAAUACGGAGGGUGCAAGCGUUAAUCGGAAUUACUGGGCGUAAAGCGCACGCAGGCGGUUUGUUAAGUCAGAUGUGAAAUCCCCGGGCUCAACCUGGGAACUGCAUUUGAAACUGGCAAGCUAGAGUCUCGUAGAGGGGGGUAGAAUUCCAGGUGUAGCGGUGAAAUGCGUAGAGAUCUGGAGGAAUACCGGUGGCGAAGGCGGCCCCCUGGACGAAGACUGACGCUCAGGUGCGAAAGCGUGGGGCAGCAAACAGGAUUAGAUACCCUGGUAGUCCACGCUGUAAACGAUGUCGAUUUGGAGGUUGUGCCCCUUGAGGCGUGGCUUCCGGAGCUAACGCGUUAAAUCGACCGCCUGGGGAGUACGGCCGCAAGGUUAAAACUCAAAUGAAUUG
This 567-nucleotide ribosomal RNA is filed under the name uncultured bacterium. RNAcentral describes it as "partial 16S ribosomal RNA". It matches the Rfam family "Bacterial small subunit ribosomal RNA", at positions 355 to 912 of the family's 1533-position model. The record is from RNAcentral.